Molecule: long non-coding RNA, 659 nt
Filed under: Helianthus annuus (common sunflower)
Lineage: Eukaryota; Viridiplantae; Streptophyta; Magnoliopsida; Asterales; Asteraceae
Description: hypothetical non coding rna
Source: RNAcentral
AUCCACAUACUUUUAUAGAUAUCUUCCAUUUUCAAAGUACAUGUCUAGUAACAUUUCUUGACAAAAUCAUCUAAAUUCACAAUCUGAAAAUAAUUUCAUGUAGCACUCUUUGUUUCUAUGAUUCUUUUUCUAUAUACAAAAAUUUAAUCAUACAAGUGGACUGCCGGUAACAUACUCGGUAAAAGCCAAAGCCACCAAACCCAACAUCGCAGCCCGCCCGUUCCACAGCUCUGCAUCCGACGUCAUCAACCCAUUCGACUUCGACUCCGCCCUCACCCCUUUAAACAACGGCACCAACGACGCCACCGACAGCACCAAACUCGUCGCUACAAACGCCGGUACACCACCGUGAGAGAUCUGAGCGAACACAUCCUGACCGUUGCUCAACUCUACAGCCAUCGCUGACACAAACCCUAUCAUCGCCAACCUUCCGUUAAUCCUCUCUGGUGCAGGCCCACCGAAGUUGGUGUGGCUGGAGUUUUGGUUGAAGGUUGUUGAUCUUGUGACGUGCAUCUGACGACAGCAAAGUUGAUGUUUCUUGUAGAUGAAGAAGGGGUGGUGGUGAGACGUGCAACGGGGGUUGCCAUGAAAACUGAAGUAGCAGCCAUUACAAUGGAUGAUUGAGAGAAGAAGGUUGUGGAAUGAAUGUUUUUAUAUAG